CUGCUGAAUAGUUGCUUUAGGAACAGCUCUAGGUGCUCAAAUGAUGCACAUUGCCCUUGGUCCUUGUUGUUUUCCUUAUAACUCAAUAAAUGUCAACUUUUUGCUUGUUCCUGAGCUCUAAUCACAGCUUGUACAAUUAGCUUGGCUAAACUGAUUGCCUUGUGUGCAAGGAGGCGUUAUUUUUACUAAUAUCAUCAUUUAACUAUUGCGUGCGUUGGGUUAAUUUGGUUCAUUGAUUCUUUUUCUUUUUUAAGCAAUCAAGCUUAAAUGAUUAGCUUCAUAGAUUAGGCAAUCCGUUCUGAACAAAGUUUUGCAAAAGGCCAACAUCACAUUGUCAUUCUGUCAUACACUUCAUACAGGAAAGCAUUUCGCUAGAUCAUGUUGCAUUCCUUUUUUUGUUUAAUUUAAGUUGGCGGCAUAGUAGCAGUGCUUUUAGCUGGAGUUUCUGAAAUUGCUAAGGCUUCAUUUUUCACAUGUCCUUUCUUCCACAUUUAUAGCUAUGGAACAAACUGUGUCCUUUCUUCCACGUUUAUAAGAUUGAUUGAUUAGCAAAAAAACAAAGAACACUUCAAUAAAUAUAUUAUAUAUGCGCUUGUCAUGAAUUCCCGUUGUAUAUAAUGCCUAAACAGUACUACUUGCUUAAUUAGGGCGAUGAGGCGGCUAAACUAAAUAGAGUGGGGUUAAGUCCCUAAUUGCCUUGCCUGCAGUUGACUUGCAACAUUUUCCCUGGGAUGUCCAUUUCAAGCCCCACAAGCUCUAGAAGCUUAAAGCCAUCCAUGUCUGGCAUGUGCACAUCGCUGAUACAAGAUCAAACAAGUUCUUGUUUUGACUCAACAUGGUCAAGAUCACAACAGUCUGAUUCAUCGUUGUGACUGCAAAUACGAAACAAUGUGUCUUACAGGUGAGUAGCUAUAGCAAAAGCCAGAACAAGAAUUUGUACAUAUUGCAUGAGAAACUACCUAACUACUUGUAGUAAAAGCUCCCAAAAAAUGCAGCAUUCAGUUACAUGGUGAUAGUGUGAUCAUCAAUUUAGUGCUUAAAUAUUUUGGCCAUUUGAUGCAAACAAAUCUAUGGUUGUGGGCAUAUAAAAGUAUAAUCUGCAAUAAAACUUAGCAAAUGGUUUAUCAAGUAGAAAUAUUUGUUAAUGGUAGUAGAAUCAAACGAGGUACCUGUUUUUUGGCUGAUCUCCAUA
This 1192-nucleotide long non-coding RNA is filed under the name Zea mays. Its description in RNAcentral is "drought responsive lncRNA". The record is from RNAcentral. Lineage: Eukaryota; Viridiplantae; Streptophyta; Magnoliopsida; Poales; Poaceae.